CACACAUCUGAUGCUCCAUCACUCAAGAGGCUGAGGCAGAGACCGAAGGCUGCCAUGGGUAACAUAGUGAGGCUCUUUCUCAAAUCUUAGUGGAGCAUCCUAGCAUGGUGGCACAUGCCUUCAGUGACAGCACUCAGGAGGGAGAGAUAUGUGGACUGCAGAGCAAACUCAAGUUUUACAGCCUACAGCAGAGUUUAAAGAGACUUUGGAAGUGUACUCAGAGUCUAUAUCCAACAAUAUCCAACCAGGCCAGGCAUGGCUGGUGGCACAUGCCUUUAAUCCCAGGCAGACAGAUCUCUGCGAGUUGAAGGCCAGAAAAAUGAAAGCGCCGAGAAAGAAGUCACUUCUGAGCAUCAAGAUUUGGCUGUGUCUUUGCCUGAUGAGAAGCCAGUGUGGCUCGCAGACAGACAUCAUCCCCUGUACCUGUCACAAGCAAGAAGCAGUUUGAGAAAAAAGAGGAGGAGCUGACCAAAGAGAUCCAGCUGACUACGAGGAGACAAAUGAGCUGAGAGAUCACCUGAGCUACGUGACAGAAGCAUCCAUGAACAAGAAGUCCUACCCUAGGCAAAAUCCUCUUUAUGAAGAAUUGAAGUUAAAGGAGAAGGUGAUCAUGACAUUUCUACACAACUUGGAGAUGAAGAAGAUGGAGGCCCGAGAGAACAAGCAGGAGCUCAAGAAGGAGAAAAAUUUCUAUCGUAACCUGCCCAGCUGGAUCCUGAGGAAGAAGAAUCUUAUAAAGAAGAAGUUGGUAAUAUUGAAGCAGGAGAGCAAGGAAGUACAGGCUGAUUGGGCCAUCAUCCAUCAAUAUUUGGUGGACUUGAACCUGAGUGGUAAAGACUAACAGGAGAAGACCAGCAACCUUGAGACUCAAGAACAUCAGGUCUCAGAAACUGCAAGAUAGCUGGGAUUGGCCACAGCAGAAGAAGAGAGCAUCUUGGAGAAUGAGUUGCCACCCCAGGAGGCCCCUGCUGAACACCAUCCCCAGCGUCCACAAUCUUCCUUGGAUGAAUCUUCUUCCAUAUAAUUCCUUUUCUUAGGGUGAAUAGGCCUUUACUAAGAAGCCAUGGCUGAUUCAGGGUGUUGUUCCCUUUUCUCUUCAGACAACUCCUCUUGACAGAGAACUGAGGCGACUGCACUGCCACCAAGUGUCCAAGAGGAGUAACAGGCUGUAGGUCUGUGCUGCUAAAAGUGCAGAGAGAAAGCAGCUGAACAAUAAUUUUCUGUUAGAAAAGAGAAAGCAGCUGAACAAUAAUUUUCUGUUAGAAAAGAGAAAGCAGCUGAACAAUAAUUUUCUGUUAGAGUUUUGGUUAAAGUUUUGCUUUUUGUUUGAAUUGUUGCAAUGUUAUUUAGAAGUUAUACGUUCUUGUUCUUGUUUUGAAUGGAUUUUUUUUUGCUUUUAACUCUAUAUUAAUUGAACUUUUUUUUGCCUGAC
Mus musculus (house mouse) is the source of this 1432-nucleotide RNA transcript. It is a transcript of the gene named spermatogenesis associated glutamate (E)-rich protein 5, pseudogene 1, with no coding region annotated. The transcript is spliced from 7 exons. NCBI's taxonomy places the organism in Eukaryota, Metazoa, Chordata, Mammalia, Rodentia, Muridae. The record is from RefSeq and is marked validated.